UAAUACGGAGGGUGCAAGCGUUAAUCGGAAUUACUGGGCGUAAAGGGUGCGUAGGUUGUUGUAUAAGUUAUCUGUGAAAUUCCUGGGCUCAACCUGGGACGGUCAGAUAAGACUGUAUAACUCGAGUAUGGGAGAGGGUAGUGGAAUUUCCGGUGUAGCGGUGAAAUGCGUAGAGAUCGGAAGGAACACCAGUGGCGAAGGCGGCUACCUGGCCUAAUACUGACACUGAGGCACGAAAGCGUGGGGAGCAAACAGG
Molecule: ribosomal RNA, 256 nt
Filed under: uncultured archaeon
Lineage: Archaea
Description: partial 16S ribosomal RNA
Rfam family: Bacterial small subunit ribosomal RNA
Source: RNAcentral